GUCCGGGAAAGGCGCCCGGCCCCAAGUUUUUAAGGGAGUCGCUCGGGCUAGGAGGGACCUCGCAGUCUGGGCACGUAGGAGCCGGUGGCGGACGAUCUAACACGCUGUCCCCCACGCGCCGAGCUGGGGCUGGGCAGAGGCGCGGAAGAAGCGCCGCGGACCCUCGCCCCCUUCCAGUCCAGCCAAGAGGGACCCCCUGGCCAGCGUAACGCAAAGCGAGCCCGGCUUUGAACUUUUUCCCCCUCCUGAGGGGCGGAAGGCAGGAGGAGGGGUUGUGGGUGACUUGGUGGGAAAAGUCUAAGCCUCAGGGCUUCGGGGAAGGACGAGGCAGAGCGAAGUCACCACUCGCGUGAGGCUUCCGGGCGCUGACACUGCGCGUGGAAGGAGGGGGGAGGGGCGGCGGAGGAGGGGUGCGUUCCUGGCACCGGGGUAAGAGCCAGCGUCAGCGUGAGGUUACCUUGGAGGUGUCCAGCAUCCAGAAAGAAUGAACCCGGGCGGUCUGGCGCCCGGGGCAAAGGUUCCAGGGUGUCCGCCUCUCGUUGACUUGUGCGCUCUAUUAGGCAGCAUCUGGUGGAACACAGAAUCCCAAACUUCCCGAAGAUAUAUCCUAAUAAAAUCCUAAUCUGUUUUUUGGUCAUUUAUAAGGCAUAUUUAGAGCUUAAAAAAAAAUGAUUAGCCUUUGCAAAAGGAUUUUCUCUAAGAAUACAUGCCCUUCUUUCCAAAGAUUCUUCUUAUGUAUUGAAAGUGUUCUUAUGCAUAAUACCAUUAUAAUAGAUUUUUUUUUCCAGGUUAAGAACAGGGCAGUGUCGCUUUGCUGCAAGUCAGUCUCUGUAUUUGGCAGUUCAUUUUAUGGUUAAUGACUAGAAAGAGAAGAGUUCCAGAGAAGCUGAUAACCAUCUGUUUCUUGCUGUGGGUGCUGGUUACAAGGUUACCCGCAGUCAACCGCUGUCCAAAGCAGAUGAUCCUCCUGACAGAGCAUCAGAAGGUCACUAGGAGCCUAGCACCAGGUCACAAUGCCGACGUCACUCACCUCACUUCUUCUCAUCCUGUAGGCAUUUUAUCUUCUCACAUCAUCACAAGAAGGGUGAGUAUAGUACAUUAAGACAUUUUGAAAGAUGGAGAGACCACAUUCACACAGCUUUGCUUUUACUACAGUAUAUCGUUAUAAUUGUCCUAUUUUAUUUUUAGUUAUUGUUGCUCUCUUACUGUGCUGAAUUUA
Neofelis nebulosa (Clouded leopard) is the source of this 1219-nucleotide long non-coding RNA. RefSeq lists it as uncharacterized. The transcript is spliced from 3 exons. The record is from RefSeq and is a predicted model, not a curated record. Lineage: Eukaryota; Metazoa; Chordata; Mammalia; Carnivora; Felidae.